AUUGGUUGAAAAUCACUUGACUUUGGCCAUGGCCACAGGUGAGAUUUGGCACCCAGAGCCACCAGUGGCCUUAGCUCACUGCCCACUUCUCCGUGUGGGGAGGUGAAACCCAGGCCCUGACAUGC
Molecule: small nucleolar RNA, 125 nt
Organism: Cervus hanglu yarkandensis (Yarkand deer)
Lineage: Eukaryota; Metazoa; Chordata; Mammalia; Artiodactyla; Cervidae
Source: Ensembl